CGCUGCCACUCUUCACAACGGAUCGUCCGGCACGUACCUGCCGGUGAAGGGAAGGGCCC
This is a non-coding RNA of Micrococcales bacterium 73-15, 59 nucleotides long. NCBI's taxonomy places the organism in Bacteria, Bacillati, Actinomycetota, Actinomycetes, Micrococcales. The record is from Rfam.